Molecule: transfer RNA, 73 nt
Filed under: Canis lupus familiaris (dog)
Lineage: Eukaryota; Metazoa; Chordata; Mammalia; Carnivora; Canidae
Also listed under: 1 other name
Rfam family: tRNA
About the family: Transfer RNA (tRNA) molecules are approximately 80 nucleotides in length. Their secondary structure includes four short double-helical elements and three loops (D, anti-codon, and T loops).
Source: Rfam by way of RNAcentral
ACCUGGCUGGCUCAGUCAGUGGAGCUUGCGACUCUUGAUCUUGGGGUUGUGAGUUCAAGCCCCACGCUGGGUG